RNAcentral lists this ribosomal RNA (188 nucleotides) under Azonexus sp. RNAcentral's name for it is "partial 23S ribosomal RNA". It matches the Rfam family "Bacterial large subunit ribosomal RNA", at positions 2742 to 2925 of the family's 2925-position model. The record is from RNAcentral. Lineage: Bacteria; Pseudomonadati; Pseudomonadota; Betaproteobacteria; Rhodocyclales; Azonexaceae.
CGGGUAGCUAUGUUCGGAAGAGAUAAACGCUGAAAGCAUCUAAGCGUGAAACUCGCCUUAAGAUAAGAUUUCCCGGAGUCUUGAACUCCUUAAAGGGUCGUCGAAGACCACGACGUUGAUAGGUCAGGUGUGGAAGCGCAGUAAUGCGUUAAGCUAACUGAUACUAAUUGCCCGUACGGCUUGAUCCU